Molecule: long non-coding RNA, 251 nt
Organism: Indicator indicator
Lineage: Eukaryota; Metazoa; Chordata; Aves; Piciformes; Indicatoridae
Exons: 3
Source: RefSeq, a predicted model, not a curated record
UUUGCACGCCGCCUCUGGAGGCUAGAAGUGCCUUUUGCUCCUGAAGCCAGUGAAGGAGAAACAGCAGUCCUGAGGUGGUAGAAAGAAAACUGCAUCUAGUGACAAGAGGACUAGAUUAGACUGAUGCUGGUCUCUUUUAGGACAUUAGUACUUGACUAGUACCUACAACUAGUGUGUAUAGCAUCUAUUGGAAUCAUUAAUUGUAUCAUAGCAAAAUAUUUUUCUAUAGUUUUUCUAUUAAAUGCCUUUAA